UCGGCAAUGGGGGAAACCCUGACCGAGCGACGCCGCGUGCGGGAUGAAGGCCUUCGGGUUGUAAACCGCUGUCGUAGAGGAGGAAAUGCAGGGGGGUUCUCCCUUCUGUUUGACCUAUUCUAGGAGGAAGUACGGGCUAAGUUCGUGCCAGCAGCCGCGGUAAGACGAACCGUGCGAACGUUAUUCGGAAUCACUGGGCUUAAAGGGUGCGUAGGCGGGUGGACAAGUCGAGGGUGAAAGCCUCUAGCUUAACUAGAGGAGUGCCCUCGAUACUGUUUGUCUUGAGAGAGAUAGGGGCACACGGAACUUCCGGUGGAGCGGUGAAGUGCGUAGAUAUCGGAAGGAACGCCGGUGGCGAAAGCGGUGUGCUGGAUCUUUUCUGACGCUGAGGCACGAAAGCUAGGGUAGCGAACGGGAUUAGAUACCCCGGUAGUCCUAGCCCUAAACGAUGAGUACUAGAUUGUGGACUGACAUGGGUUCACAGUCGAAGCAAAAGUAUUAAGUACUCCGCCUGGGGAGUAUGGUCGCAAGGCUGAAACUCAAAGGA
RNAcentral lists this ribosomal RNA (547 nucleotides) under uncultured bacterium. RNAcentral describes it as "bacterial SSU rRNA". It matches the Rfam family "Bacterial small subunit ribosomal RNA", at positions 365 to 908 of the family's 1533-position model. The record is from RNAcentral.